Molecule: ribosomal RNA, 250 nt
Filed under: uncultured prokaryote
Description: partial 16S ribosomal RNA
Rfam family: Bacterial small subunit ribosomal RNA
Source: RNAcentral
UACGUAGGUGGCGAGCGUUAUCCGGAUUUAUUGGGCGUAAAGCGUGCGCAGACGGCUUAUUAAGUCUAAAAUUAAAGCCCGGAGCUUAACUCCGGUUCGUUUUAGAAACUGGUUGGCUUGAGUAUGGUAGAGGCAAACGGAAUUUCUAGUGUAGCGGUAGAAUGCGUAGAUAUUAGAAGGAACACCAGUGGCGAAGGCGGUUUGCUGGGCCAUUACUGACGUUCAUGCACGAAAGCGUGGGGAGCAAAUA